GAAAGGGGAUUAGGGUACCAAUUGAGACGAUUGGAAUCUGCACGAGUCUUCUUCUCAUCCGCGAACGGCGCCGGCGAAUUCACUCCUUCCGGCGGGAUCGCGGCGAGCACCACCGUGAAUCAAUGUUUUCCAUCUCACCUUGUUCACCCUCGCGCAUCAUCUCUCACCGAUUUCCUUCCAUCAUCGUUGUGAGUGAUCAAAACAACAUAACAUUACCGGUUGCGAACGACGAACGGGAAGCCCAGAGUUACUCGGCGAUCCUCGGUAAAAAUCCUUUCGUUUCUGAUUACGAUUUCAUCUCUCCCCUUCGCUUUUCCAUUUCUGACUCGUUGUUGUUGUUGUGCGUUGAGGAGAUGUUGUUGCGAAGAUCGUCGUGAAUAGGGAUUGCAAUGAUGACACGUUGAAGAUUGAUGAAGAUGAAGAGAGGAAUUCUGACUGGUCAAGGGAGGGAGAAGAAGAUUGAAGGUUAAAGAUUCUGUUAGAGGUUAUGAUGGUGAGAAGGUUGAAGAACGAUGAAGAGAGAUUCAGAGAUGGUCAGAGAGUGAUGUGAUUCAAGAUGAAGAUGGAAUAGGCUCAAGGUGAGAAAAAAUGGGAGGUUCUGAAUUGGUGAAAAGAGGAAGAUAAAGAUUGAAGAGAUGAAUGAUGGAGAGUGAGAUAUGAGGGUGGAGUGAUGAAGAAUGAAGGUUGGAAGUGGAUGAAGGAGGUGGUGUCUGAAUUCAGAGAGUGAAAUUGGAGGUGAUGAAUGAAUGAAUCGAGAAGAUUGAGUGAUCCUCAAUUCAGAGAGUGAGCUCUGCUAUAUAUGGAUUCAAAGAUUAGUUUCUUUCUUGAUUUUCAGUUAUCCGUUUUCUCUUACUCCUUCUCCUUCUUUUUCUGUUAUGGCCUUGAAACUGUUAAAAGGUAGUUACAUGUUAGUGUGAUUCUGUUAUGAUAGUUGGGUUAGUUACUAGGUGGUUAGGAUUCUGUUUAGUUAGUUAGGGAUUGAUUAGAAGCUGUUAGGGACAGUUAGGGAUUCGGUUAGGACUGUUAUAAGGUAGUUAGGGAAUCUGUUAGAGGUGGUUAUUGAUAGUUUUUCUGUUAUGGUUUGUUUGAAGGUUAGUUGGGACUGAAGUUGGGUUUGUUGGUUGGUUAGAGGGUAGUUACGAAGCUGCCACAAGUUUGUUAUAGAGGUUAGGGAGGUUAUGAGAAAAACUGUUAGUAGUGAGGAUUGGUUAAAGGAAUACUUGAGCUUGGUUUUUUUUUUGUUUCGAGGGCGAUUCUGUAUGCUGACUUUGUGGUUCAUGACUGUUUGUUAGUAGCAAUAGGUCGCCUCUUCUUCUUUUCUUUGACUUGCAAGCAUAGCUUGGAAUUCACUAUUCCUGAACUGAUUUUUCUUUAUGCCGAAUCUGAAUUGAGUUAAUGAAUGCAGGUCUGUGGUUUUGCGUGUGAUUGGCUUAUCGUUUUUCAUGUAUGCAGGCUGAUUUUCAUGUAUGCACAAAUAAGAAUUACAGCUCCAGGAGGAUCAUCUUUGGAAGCAAGAGAAACAUUAAGCAACAAGUCGCCAAUAAUCUUGCAACAGUUUAGGAUACAGACAAACUUGUCUCUGGGUGCCUUGUACCUGUUGAUCUUCUGCAAUUUUUCUGUGCAAGCAACCAUGAUGUUUCAUUCUGUAAUGCUGGCUUGAUGUCCAAAUUUUCUGGUCAAAUGAAUUGUUGAGCUCUAGGAUAUAAGUCUGUAGAGUUUGCAAAUAGUAUAGAGGGAAUGAAUUUUUUUUUGUAUUUUCUUUGUGAUAGAAUUGUAUUUUUGGUAAUGGAUUUGUAUGGAUGUGAUAUUUGAAACGAAUGGAGACUUUUGAAUUUGACUGA
Long non-coding RNA from Vicia villosa (hairy vetch), 1841 nucleotides. RefSeq lists it as uncharacterized. The record is from RefSeq and is a predicted model, not a curated record. The transcript has 2 exons. Lineage: Eukaryota; Viridiplantae; Streptophyta; Magnoliopsida; Fabales; Fabaceae.